CCUACGGGUGGCUGCAGUGGGGAAUAUUGGACAAUGGGCGCAAGCCUGAUCCAGCCAUGCCGCGUGGGUGAAGAAGGCCUUCGGGUUGUAAAGCCCUUUUGUUGGGAAAGAAAUCCUGCCGGUUAAUAACCAGUAGGGAUGACGGUACCCAAAGAAUAAGCACCGGCUAACUUCGUGCCAGCAGCCGCGGUAAUACGAAGGGUGCAAGCGUUACUCGGAAUUACUGGGCGUAAAGCGUGCGUAGGUGGUUGUUUAAGUCUGUCGUGAAAGCCCUGGGCUCAACCUGGGAAUUGCGAUGGAUACUGGGCAACUAGAGUGUGGUAGAGGAUAGUGGAAUUUCCGGUGUAGCAGUGAAAUGCGUAGAGAUCGGAAGGAACAUCUGUGGCGAAGGCGACUAUCUGGGCCAACACUGACACUGAGGCACGAAAGCGUGGGGAGCAAACAGGCUUAGAUACCCCAGUAGUC
This 465-nucleotide ribosomal RNA is filed under the name uncultured Pseudoxanthomonas sp. RNAcentral describes it as "bacterial SSU rRNA". It matches the Rfam family "Bacterial small subunit ribosomal RNA", at positions 338 to 795 of the family's 1533-position model. Lineage: Bacteria; Pseudomonadati; Pseudomonadota; Gammaproteobacteria; Lysobacterales; Lysobacteraceae. The record is from RNAcentral.